This 497-nucleotide ribosomal RNA is filed under the name uncultured bacterium. RNAcentral's name for it is "partial 16S ribosomal RNA". It matches the Rfam family "Bacterial small subunit ribosomal RNA", at positions 28 to 507 of the family's 1533-position model. The record is from RNAcentral.
GAUGAACGCUGGCGGCGUGCCUAAUAUAUGCAAGUCGAGCGAACAGAUGAGGAGCUUGCUCCUCUGACGUUAGCGGCGGACGGGUGAGUAACACGUGGAUAACCUACCUAUAAGACUGGGAUAACUUCGGGAAACCGGAGCUAAUACCGGAUAAUAUAUUGAACCGCAUGGUUCAAUAGUGAAAGACGGUUUUGCUGUCACUUAUAGAUGGAUCCGCGCCGCAUUAGCUAGUUGGUAAGGUAACGGCUUACCAAGGCAACGAUGCGUAGCCGACCUGAGAGGGUGAUCGGCCACACUGGAACUGAGACACGGUCCAGACUCCUACGGGAGGCAGCAGUAGGGAAUCUUCCGCAAUGGGCGAAAGCUUGACGGAGCAACGCCGCGUGAGUGAUGAAGGUCUUCGGAUCGUAAAACUCUGUUAUUAGGGAAGAACAAAUGUGUAAGUAACUAUGCACGUCUUGACGGUACCUAAUCAGAAAGCCACGGCUAACUACGUG